AAGGUGCUAAUACCGGACUAAGAAAGACAGAUCGCAUGAUCAGCUUUUAAAAGGCGGCGUAAGCUGUCGCUAUGGGAUGGCCCCGCGGUGCAUUAGCUAGUUGGUAAGGUAAAGGCUUACCAAGGCGAUGAUGCAUAGCCGAGUUGAGAGACUGAUCGGCCACAUUGGGACUGAGACACGGCCCAAACUCCUACGGGAGGCAGCAGCG
RNAcentral lists this ribosomal RNA (208 nucleotides) under uncultured Lactobacillus sp. RNAcentral describes it as "partial 16S ribosomal RNA". It matches the Rfam family "Bacterial small subunit ribosomal RNA", at positions 157 to 356 of the family's 1533-position model. Lineage: Bacteria; Bacillati; Bacillota; Bacilli; Lactobacillales; Lactobacillaceae. The record is from RNAcentral.